GACGAACGCUGGCGGCGUGCCUAAUACAUGCAAGUAGAACGCUGAAGGAGGAGCUUGCUUCUCUGGAUGAGUUGCGAACGGGUGAGUAACGCGUAGGUAACCUGCCUGGUAGCGGGGGAUAACUAUUGGAAACGAUAGCUAAUACCGCAUAAUAGUAGAUGUUGCAUGACAUUUGCUUAAAAGGUGCAAUUGCAUCACUACCAGAUGGACCUGCGUUGUAUUAGCUAGUUGGUGGGGUAACGGCUCACCAAGGCGACGAUACAUAGCCGACCUGAGAGGGUGAGCGGACACACUGGAACUGAGACACGGUUCAGACUCGUCCGGGAGGUCGAAGCAGGGAAACUUACGAAAAGGGCGAAAGCUUGAAGGAGCAACGUAGCGUGAGUGAUGAAGGUAUUGGGAUCGGAAAACUCUGUUAUUAGGGAAGAACAUAGGUGUAAGUACCAGUGCACACCUUGACGGUACCUAAUCAGAAAGCCAGGGCUAACUACGUG
This 494-nucleotide ribosomal RNA is filed under the name uncultured bacterium. RNAcentral's name for it is "partial 16S ribosomal RNA". It matches the Rfam family "Bacterial small subunit ribosomal RNA", at positions 28 to 507 of the family's 1533-position model. The record is from RNAcentral.